GAGUUUGAUCCUGGCUCAGAGCGAACGCUGGCGGCAGGCCUAACACAUGCAAGUCGAGCGGCCGUAGCAAUACGGCAGCGGCAGACGGGAGAGUAACACGUGGGAACGCGCCCUUCGGUUCGGAAUAACUCAGGGAAACUUGGGCUAAUACCGGAUACGCCCUUACGGGGAAAGAUUUAUUGCCGAAGGAACGGCCCGCGUCCGAUUAGCUCGUUGGUGAGGUAACGGCUCACCAAGGCGACGAUCCUUAGCUGGUCUGAGAGGAUGAACAGCCACACUGGGACUGAGACACGGCCCAGACUCCUACGGGAGGCAGCAGUAAGGAAUAUUGGUCAAUGGACGCAAGUCUGAACCAGCCAUGCCGCGUGAAGGAUGAAGGACCUCUGGAUUGUAAACUUCUUUUAUAUGGGAAGAAAUCCAUCUUUUCUUGGGUGGUUGACGGUACCGUAAACUAAGCACCGG
This 462-nucleotide ribosomal RNA is filed under the name uncultured soil bacterium. RNAcentral describes it as "bacterial SSU rRNA". It matches the Rfam family "Bacterial small subunit ribosomal RNA", at positions 9 to 496 of the family's 1533-position model. The record is from RNAcentral.